Molecule: ribosomal RNA, 380 nt
Filed under: uncultured eukaryote
Lineage: Eukaryota
Description: partial 18S ribosomal RNA
Rfam family: Eukaryotic small subunit ribosomal RNA
Source: RNAcentral
CAAUAGCGUAUAUUAAAGUUGUUGCGGUUAAAAAGCUCGUAGUUGGAUUUCUGCUGAGAACGACCGGUCCGCCCUUUGGGUGUGUAUCUGGCUCUUUCUUGGCAUCUUCUUGGUGAACGUUGCUGCACUUGACUGUGUGGAGCGCUACCCAGGACUUUUACUUUGAGGAAAUUAGAGUGUUUCAAGCAGGCAUACGCCUUGAAUACAUUAGCAUGGAAUAAUAAGAUAGGACCUCGGUUCUAUUUUGUUGGUUUCUAGAGCUGAGGUAAUGAUUAAUAGGGAUAGUUGGGGGCAUUCGUAUUUAACUGUCAGUGGUGAAAUUCUUGGAUUUGUUAAAGACGGACUACUGCGAAAGCAUUUGCCAAGGAUGUUUUCAUUGA